GCUGGGCGUGGUGGCGCUCGCCUGUAAUCCCAACUACUUGGGAGGCUGAGGCAGAUGAAUUGCUUGAACCUAGGAGGUGGAGGUUGCAGUGCACCAAGAUCGCGCCACUGCACUCCAGCCUGGGCGAAAGAGCAAGACUCUGUCUCGA
This is a non-coding RNA of Gorilla gorilla gorilla (western lowland gorilla), 148 nucleotides long. It matches the Rfam family "Metazoan signal recognition particle RNA". From Rfam's summary of the family: The signal recognition particle (SRP) is a universally conserved ribonucleoprotein. It is involved in the co-translational targeting of proteins to membranes. The eukaryotic SRP consists of a 300-nucleotide 7S RNA and six proteins: SRPs 72, 68, 54, 19, 14, and 9. Lineage: Eukaryota; Metazoa; Chordata; Mammalia; Primates; Hominidae. The record is from Rfam.